This 253-nucleotide ribosomal RNA is filed under the name uncultured bacterium. RNAcentral describes it as "partial 16S ribosomal RNA". It matches the Rfam family "Bacterial small subunit ribosomal RNA", at positions 524 to 776 of the family's 1533-position model. The record is from RNAcentral.
UACGUAGGGUGCGAGCGUUGUCCGGAAUUAUUGGGCGUAAAGGGCUCGUAGGCGGUCUGUUGCGUCAGGAGUGAAAACUCGGGGCUUAACCCCGAGCCUGCUUCUGAUACGGGCAGACUAGAGGUAUGCAGGGGAGAACGGAAUUCCUGGUGUAGCGGUGAAAUGCGCAGAUAUCAGGAGGAACACCGGUGGCGAAGGCGGCAUCCUGGACCAAUACUGACGCUGAGGAGCGAAAGCCAGGGGAGCAAACGGG